RNAcentral lists this transfer RNA (81 nucleotides) under Paragonimus heterotremus. It matches the Rfam family "tRNA". From Rfam's summary of the family: Transfer RNA (tRNA) molecules are approximately 80 nucleotides in length. Their secondary structure includes four short double-helical elements and three loops (D, anti-codon, and T loops). The record is from Rfam by way of RNAcentral. Lineage: Eukaryota; Metazoa; Platyhelminthes; Trematoda; Plagiorchiida; Troglotrematidae.
GGCUUCGUAGCUCAGCUGGUAGAGCGCUUGCCGCGUAGAGUCAUGGUGUUUCUGUCUCUGGUUCGAAUCCAGCCGAAGCCC